GAUGAGCGCUGGCGGCGUGCCUAAUACAUGCAAGUCGAGCGAACAGACGAGGAGCUUGCUCCUCUGACGUUAGCGGCGGACGGGUGAGUAACACGUGGAUAACCUACCUAUAAGACUGGGAUCACUACGGGAAACCGGAUCAAACACCGGAUAAGAUAUUGAACCGCAUGGUUCAUUAGAGAAAGACGGCUUUGCUGUCACUUAUAGAUGGAUCCGCGCCGCAUUAGCUAGUUGGUAAGGUAACGGCUUACCAAGGCGACGAUGCGUAGCCGACCUGAGAGGGUGAUCGGCCACACUGGAACUGAGACACGGUCCAGACUCCUACGGGAGGCAGCAGUAGGGAAUCGUCCGCAAAGGGCGAAAGCCUGACGGAGCAACGCCGCGUGUGUGAUGAAGGUCUUCGGAUCGUAAAACUCUGUUAUUAGGGAAGAACAGAUGUGUAAGUAACUAUGCACGUCUUGACGGUACCUAAUCAAGAAGCCACGGCUAACUACGUG
RNAcentral lists this ribosomal RNA (497 nucleotides) under uncultured bacterium. RNAcentral's name for it is "partial 16S ribosomal RNA". It matches the Rfam family "Bacterial small subunit ribosomal RNA", at positions 28 to 507 of the family's 1533-position model. The record is from RNAcentral.